This 440-nucleotide ribosomal RNA is filed under the name uncultured bacterium. Its description in RNAcentral is "bacterial SSU rRNA". It matches the Rfam family "Bacterial small subunit ribosomal RNA", at positions 30 to 472 of the family's 1533-position model. The record is from RNAcentral.
CCUGAACGCUGGCGGCGUGGCUAAGACAUGCAAGUCGCACGGGGCCCGCAAGGGUCCAGUGGCGGACGGGUGAGUAAUGAAUCGCUAAUGUACCCCGAUGUCUGGGAUAGCUGCCCGAAAGGGCAGGUAAUACCAGAUGAGACCACAGGCAGGCAUCUGCCGGUGCUCAAAGGGUCACCGCAUUGGGAGCAGGCGAUUUCGUAUCAGCUAGUUGGGAGGUAACGGCUCACCAAGGCGACGACGCGUAGCCGGGCUGAGAGGUCGGCCGGCCACAUUGGGACUGAGACACUGCCCAGACUCCUACGGGAGGCAGCAGUGGGGAAUAUUGGACAAUGGGCGAAAGCCUGAUCCAGCAAUGCCGCGUGUGUGAAGAAGGCCUGCGGGUUGUAAAGCACUUUCAGUGGGGAAGAAAGACGCAGCGCUAACAUCGCUGCGUCUUG